This 253-nucleotide ribosomal RNA is filed under the name uncultured bacterium. RNAcentral describes it as "partial 16S ribosomal RNA". It matches the Rfam family "Bacterial small subunit ribosomal RNA", at positions 524 to 776 of the family's 1533-position model. The record is from RNAcentral.
UACGUAGGUGGCAAGCGUUGUCCGGAUUUACUGGGCGUAAAGAGCGCGCAGGCGGUCUGAUAAGUCGGAUGUGAAAGCCCCCGGCUUAACUGGGGAGGGUCAUUCGAUACUGUUCGACUCGAGGGCAGGAGAGGGAAGCGGAAUUCCCGGUGUAGUGGUGAAAUGCGUAGAUAUCGGGAGGAACACCAGUGGCGAAGGCGGCUUCCUGGCCUGUUCUUGACGCUGAGGCGCGAAAGCGAGGGGAGCAAACGGG